AGAUGUGAGGGCAAUCUGGUUGCAACAUUUGUUAUUCCAAUGGUUGCUAGGGUUGGUUCAGCCAAAUUGGUUUUAGUGGGUGUCCCCCUCCUCCCUCACCAAUGUGUAUGUCCCUCUUGAAGCUUUGCCCUUGGUUAAGAAGAGGGCAUCUUUCCCCAGUAGAGGAGGGCCAUUCUCUGGUCUGGCAUAUAGGAAGGAGCAGCUGUGUUCCCCUGCUAGAACCUCCAAAUAGCUCUUAAGAGGAAACACUGUGGCCUGCACCUGUGGGUGGCUGGGAACAGACUGUUGGGGCCUAGGAGGAGGAGUCCCUUCCCG
Fukomys damarensis (Damara mole-rat) is the source of this 315-nucleotide unclassified non-coding RNA. Its record names the gene 7SK. It matches the Rfam family "7SK RNA". From Rfam's summary of the family: 7SK was discovered as an abundant small nuclear RNA in the mid-70s but a possible function has only recently been suggested. Two independent studies have found that 7SK RNA binds the CDK9/cyclin T complex (known as elongation factor P-TEFb). The record is from Ensembl. Lineage: Eukaryota; Metazoa; Chordata; Mammalia; Rodentia; Bathyergidae.